Molecule: ribosomal RNA, 253 nt
Filed under: uncultured bacterium
Lineage: Bacteria
Description: partial 16S ribosomal RNA
Rfam family: Bacterial small subunit ribosomal RNA
Source: RNAcentral
UACGGGGGGUGCGAGCGUUGUCCGGAAUUACUGGGCGUAAAGCGCGUGUAGGCGGCUUGGCAAGUCGGGUGUGAAAGCCCUGGGCUCAACCUAGGAAGUGCACUCGAAACUGCCUCGCUUGAAUGCCGGAGAGGAAAGCGGAAUUCUCGGUGUAGAGGUGAAAUUCGUAGAUAUCGAGAGGAACACCGGUGGCGAAGGCGGGUCUCUGGGCCGAUACUGACGCUGAGGAGCGAAAGCGUGGGGAGCGAACAGG